This 465-nucleotide ribosomal RNA is filed under the name Vreelandella stevensii. RNAcentral describes it as "partial 16S ribosomal RNA". It matches the Rfam family "Bacterial small subunit ribosomal RNA", at positions 338 to 795 of the family's 1533-position model. The record is from RNAcentral. Lineage: Bacteria; Pseudomonadati; Pseudomonadota; Gammaproteobacteria; Oceanospirillales; Halomonadaceae.
CCUACGGGUGGCAGCAGUGGGGAAUAUUGGACAAUGGGCGAAAGCCUGAUCCAGCCAUGCCGCGUGUGUGAAGAAGGCCUUCGGGUUGUAAAGCACUUUCAGUGGGGAAGAAAGCCUUGGGGCUAAUACCCUCGAGGAAGGACAUCACCCACAGAAGAAGCACCGGCUAACUCCGUGCCAGCAGCCGCGGUAAUACGGAGGGUGCGAGCGUUAAUCGGAAUUACUGGGCGUAAAGCGCGCGUAGGCGGUCUGAUAAGCCGGUUGUGAAAGCCCCGGGCUCAACCUGGGAACGGCAUCCGGAACUGUCAGGCUAGAGUGCAGGAGAGGAAGGUAGAAUUCCCGGUGUAGCAGGGAAAUGCGUAGAGAGCGGGAGGAAUACCAGUGGCGAAGGCGGCCUUCUGGACUGACACUGACGCUGAGGUGCGAAAGCGUGGGUAGCAAACAGGAUUAGAUACCCGGGUAGUC